Molecule: ribosomal RNA, 253 nt
Filed under: uncultured bacterium
Lineage: Bacteria
Description: partial 16S ribosomal RNA
Rfam family: Bacterial small subunit ribosomal RNA
Source: RNAcentral
GACAGAGGGGGCAAGCGUUGCUCGGAAUUACUGGGCGUAAAGCGUGCGCAGGCGGCGCGUUAAGACAGGUGUGAAAGCCCCGAGCUUAACUUGGGAAUUGCGCUUGUGACUGGCGUGCUGGAGUGUGGCAGAGGGAGGUGGAAUUCCACGUGUAGCAGUGAAAUGCGUAGAGAUGUGGAGGAACACCGAUGGCGAAGGCAGCCUCCUGGGCCAGCACUGACGCUCAUGCACGAAAGCGUGGGGAGCAAACAGG